CCUACGGGAGGCAGCAGUGAGGAAUAUUGGUCAAUGGACGAGAGUCUGAACCAGCCAAGUCGCGUGAAGGAUGACUGCUCUAUGGGUUGUAAACUUCUUUUAUGUGGGAAUAAAAUGUUCCACGUGUGGGAUUUUGUAUGUACCAUAUGAAUAAGGAUCGGCUAACUCCGUGCCAGCAGCCGCGGUAAUACGGAGGAUCCGAGCGUUAUCCGGAUUUAUUGGGUGUAAAGGGAGCGUAGGUGGAUUGUUAAGUCAGUUGUGAAAGUUUGCGGCUCAACCGUAAAAUUGCAGUUGAGACUGGCAGACUUGAGUACAGUAGAGGUGAGCGGAAUUCGUGGUGUAGCGGUGAAAUGCUUAGAUAUCACGAAGAACUCAGAUGGCGAAGGCAGCUGACUGGACUGCAACUGACACUGAGGCUCGAAAGUGUGGGUAUCAAACAGGAUUAGAUACCCGUGUAGUC
Molecule: ribosomal RNA, 460 nt
Filed under: uncultured bacterium
Lineage: Bacteria
Description: partial 16S ribosomal RNA
Rfam family: Bacterial small subunit ribosomal RNA
Source: RNAcentral